RNAcentral lists this ribosomal RNA (269 nucleotides) under uncultured archaeon. RNAcentral's name for it is "partial 16S ribosomal RNA". It matches the Rfam family "Archaeal small subunit ribosomal RNA", at positions 477 to 747 of the family's 1478-position model. The record is from RNAcentral.
CAGCACCUCAAGUGGUCAGGAUGAUUAUUGGGCCUAAAGCAUCCGUAGCCGGCGCUGUAAGUUUUCGGUUAAAUCUGUACGCUCAACGUACAGGCUGCCGGGAAUACUGCAGCGCUAGGGAGUGGGAGAGGUAGACGGUACUCGGUAGGAAGGGGUAAAUCCUUUGAUCUAUUGAUGACCACCUGUGGCGAAGGCGGUCUACCAGAACACGUCCGACGGUGAGGGAUGAAAGCUGGGGGAGCAAACCGGAUUAGAGACCCGAGUAGUCC